This 253-nucleotide ribosomal RNA is filed under the name uncultured bacterium. RNAcentral's name for it is "partial 16S ribosomal RNA". It matches the Rfam family "Bacterial small subunit ribosomal RNA", at positions 524 to 776 of the family's 1533-position model. The record is from RNAcentral.
UACGGAGGGUGCGAGCGUUGUCCGGAAUCACUGGGCGUAAAGGGCGCGUAGGCGGCUGGGGAAGUCGGCGGUGAAAGCCCGGAGCUCAACUCCGGGUCGGCCGUCGAGACUCCUCGGCUCGAGCUCACUAGAGGCAGAUGGAAUUCCGGGUGUAGCGGUGGAAUGCGUAGAGAUCCGGAAGAACACCGGUGGCGAAGGCGGUCGGCUGGGGUGAGGCUGACGCUGAGGCGCGACAGCGUGGGGAGCAAACAGG